AUACGUAGGGGGCGAGCGUUGUCCGGAAUUACUGGGCGUAAAGGGCGCGUAGGCGGCUUUGUAAGUCCGUAGUGAAAUCGCUGGGCUCAACCCAGCAAGUGCUAUGGAAACUGUGAGGCUAGAGGAUGUCAGAGGCAAGCGGAAUUCCCGGUGUAGCGGUAAAAUGCACAGAGAUCGGGAGGAACACCAGUGGCGAGGGCGGCUGGCUGGGGCAUAACUGACGCUGAUGCGCGAAAGCGUGGGGAGCAAACAGGAUUAGAUACCCUGGUAGUCCACGCUGUAAACGAUGGAUACUAGGUGUAGGUGGUAUCGACCCCAUCUGUGCCGGAGCGAACGCAAUAAGUAUCCCGCCUGAGGAGUACGGCCGCAAGGUUGAAACUCAAAUGAAUUGACGGGG
Molecule: ribosomal RNA, 397 nt
Filed under: uncultured bacterium
Lineage: Bacteria
Description: partial 16S ribosomal RNA
Rfam family: Bacterial small subunit ribosomal RNA
Source: RNAcentral